RNAcentral lists this ribosomal RNA (468 nucleotides) under uncultured bacterium. RNAcentral's name for it is "partial 16S ribosomal RNA". It matches the Rfam family "Bacterial small subunit ribosomal RNA", at positions 28 to 507 of the family's 1533-position model. The record is from RNAcentral.
GACGAACGCUGGCGGCGUGCUUAACACAUGCAAGUCGAACGGAAAGGCCCUGCUUUUGUGGGGUGCUCGAGUGGCGAACGGGUGAGUAACACGUGAGUAACCUGCCCUUGACUUUGGGAUAACUUCAGGAAACUGGGGCUAAUACUGGAUAGGAGCUCCUGCUGCAUGGUGGGGGUUGGAAAGUUUCGGCGGUUGGGGAUGGGCUCGCGGCUUAUCAGCUUGUUGGUGGGGUAGUGGCUUACCAAGGCUUUGACGGGUAGCCGGCCUGAGAGGGUGACCGGCCACAUUGGGACUGAGAUACGGCCCAGACUCCUACGGGAGGCAGCAGUGGGGAAUAUUGCACAAUGGGCGGAAGCCUGAUGCAGCAACGCCGCGUGCGGGAUGACGGCCUUCGGGUUGUAAACCGCUUUCGCCUGUGACGAAGCGUGAGUGACGGUAAUGGGUAAAGAAGCACCGGCUAACUACGUG